GAGUGAUGAAAGACUUCAUUUAUCUUUGUUAUGUAAAGCUUCAAAUAAAAAUCUUUGUUCACAGAAAUGGGUGGUACAAACUAUCUGUGAUAGGGCUAUAGCUGGAAAAGUUCAUGAGAACCAUUAUUUCUACUACUGGUUGCCUCCCCACCUUGAAACUUCACUGAAUCCAUUCCAAGCAGGAGAUAAGGUGCUUCUGAAGGUGUGGAAGGAAAAAGGACCAGAACAACAACUUGAAGAAAAGUUGAAAGGAUCCUAGGAUGUGUUAUUAACCACCCAUACAUCCUUUAAGUUGACAGAUAUAAGACUGUGGGUGCACCACACUAGAGUAAAGAAGUGCCAGACGAUUUCUAGUCACAGGCACCUUCUCCUGAUAAGUGGGAAAGCAGACCAUUGGAGGGUUUUAAGCUGCUCUUCAAAAAACAGCCAUGAGAUACAUCACAUUGCUAAUUCAUCUGUAUUCCUUACAUUUUCCAGUUAUUGCCUGACUGGACAACUCCCAACUCCCUGGUAUGCAUUGCACAAACCAUUGCUAAUGCAAUGCAAGAUGUGGACUGCUGGAUUUGUCUUCCUUGAGCUCAGUCCACUCCGGGUCAUGGGGACCCCCUGGUGCAUCCUGUAUCAGACUUUACCCAAGUCCCUGAUGGGGACUGGGUCCCUAAGUGAGACCUUCGGGCUCGCAACCUUAUGUACCACAUAUGCAUCAGUCACUUCCCUCAUGAGAACUUUUCUAAAAUUGCCUGUCUUAUGCUUCCUCUCUCCACCAGUACUGUUCUAUAUUGGAUCCAGGGCACCCAGUAGAUACCUGAAUACUUUGAAAUGACUUUGCCUCCACCCUCAAGGCAACUCCCUAUGUGUGUUCAGCAGUCCACCAGAUACCCAGUGGAAGAAAUUAAAUCCAUGGUUGACUAUUCAUUUCUGGAGAGAUCCUGGAUGGAAUGAACUGGAUUCAAAGUUGGUUACUAUUUCUAGACUAAUAGCUCUGUCAGCUACUACACUCACAAUGAAGGUGAAAGACUUAAGAGUAACCCCAGUUCCUGGAAGUCUGGAUAUACAACUAAGGGGUAGAGUUCUUGUGUCCUGCAGCUGGCUGGCAAUAAAGAAGAAAAACCUCUGCAUCAGCAGAAAAGCUUCCUGGCACCAGAAUCCACUAUCCACCAGGGAGGAAGACAAUCAAGGACAUCUAACCUGUGGAUUCCCUUAUGUCACCAUCCUCCUCCCUGCAAACAGUCUCACAAAGCCAAACGCAGGCUGGUGGGAAAGCGCCGACCAGCAAGGCCACAGGCUCCCCCUCCCUAUAAGCAGCCAUAUUCCUCACAACCUUUAAAACCCCUUAUCCACUUCUUAAUGGGGUGCCAGCAGUUCCUAAGGCACUAUCCUGCUGCUGCUCCCUUUGCCUAGCAAAAAAAAAAGUAAGCUUUUUUUUCUUUUCAUUUUCACCCAAAACUCUGUUCUCGUUAUUUGGAUUGGUACUGAGUUCAGAGACCGAACUUUCGGUAACAUAACUAGAAAGCUCAGGAGAAGCAUAAGUCCUGUAGAGGAUAACAGCACUAUAAUUACAAUUUUCAUUGGAGACCUGAUCUAGCUAUUUCAUUCUAAACUUCUGAUUCCAACUAGAAGAUAAAUCUUAAGUGGGCAAUAGAAACUUCUGGGCCAUACAUGAUGUCAUUCACUUCUCCAAAUAUAGGACUUUUAUAGGAAAUGCUUUCAUAUCACAUUUCUGGUCCUCUAAUACCUUAGAUCAGCCUCUCUAGAAUCAUGCUCUGUGAUGGGGAUUCUCCUUCAAGUGUUUUAUAAAGAUGAUGCUCUGAAAGAAAAGUGUUAGGGAAGAAAGGAAGUAGGACAGGGAGGGAAAAGAGCUAAGGAAGAAUGUGUUUUUGCUAGAAUGUAAUGUGAACCCAUCCACACAGGUAUUUCUGGAACACGAAUUUUACCAUUGAGUAAAUUUUAUGAUCAGACAAGAAGAAUGCCCUUUUGUUAGCCCUGCUCAGCAUCCCAGUAUCAAUCAGUCAUUGACUGUAGGCUGUUUUAGUGAGCAAUUGUUGGAGGGACGGAGGAGAAGGAUUAUAAAAUCAUCUAGCCUUGAAUGCUUACUCAAGUUGAUCCAAGGACAAUUCUCAAGAGUGCAGCUGUGACCCAGCAGCAGCCUACCAUCAUGUCAGAUUAAAUGAAGAGGGGUAUAGCCAGCUAGGGGGAUGGGUGCACCAGGCCACUAAAGGAAAUCUGGGACAGAGUCUCCUAUACUAAAUAAAUAUGGCAUGAUAUUCCUGUUAUGCUUAGCCACUUUUAAAGAGGAAACAAAAAUAAUAAAGGAAAAGAAAGAGCAUAUGAGUCCUGAAUGUGAUAAGAGCCCAAUUAAACUUGCAAGUACUUAAGUAAUUGGGCCCAUUUUCUCAGGAUUAUUUCAAAUUACCCAUCCUCUUUAGGAGGUCAUUUGAAGUAGGUUAAACAACUCAUCACUAUUCCCUGCGACUAGCUAGAUUUCUAAUACAAUAAUUGAGAGAUUAUAUUUCUUUUUUUAAUUGAGAAAUAAUUGACACAUAACAUUAUACCAUUUUCAUGUGUACAACAUAAUGAUUCUAUAUAUGAGGUUAUAUUUGAUGUUGACUAUAAAACAGAAAGAAUCCUCUUCUAUACAUCCAGAUGAAUGC
Molecule: long non-coding RNA, 2651 nt
Filed under: Equus caballus (horse)
Lineage: Eukaryota; Metazoa; Chordata; Mammalia; Perissodactyla; Equidae
Description: lncRNA (ENSECAG00000055311.1)
Source: RNAcentral